This 477-nucleotide ribosomal RNA is filed under the name uncultured bacterium. RNAcentral describes it as "partial 16S ribosomal RNA". It matches the Rfam family "Bacterial small subunit ribosomal RNA", at positions 28 to 507 of the family's 1533-position model. The record is from RNAcentral.
GAUGAACGCUGGCGGCGUGCCUAAUACAUGCAAGUCGAGCGAACAGACGAGGAGCUUGCUCCUCUGACGUUAGCGGCGGACGGGUGAGUAACACGUGGAUAACCUACCUAUAAGACUGGGAUAACUUCGGGAAACCGGAGCUAAUACCGGAUAACAUGUUGAACCGCAUGGUUCAACAGUGAAAGACGGUUUUGCUGUCACUUAUAGAUGGAUCCGCGCCGCAUUAGCUAGUUGGUAAGGUAACGGCUUAUCAAGGCAACGACGCGUAGCCGGCCUGAGAGUGUGACCGGCCAAGGUGGGACUGAGAAACGGCCAAGACUCCUACGGUAGGAAGCAGUGGGGAAUAUUGAAAAAUGGUCAGAAGACAAAUGCAGAAACUCAGAGUGCUGGAUGAAGGCCUUCGGGUUGUAAACCGAUUUCGCCGGUGAAGAAGCGUGAGUGACGGUAAGGAGUAAAGAGGCACGGACUAGCUACGUG